This 448-nucleotide ribosomal RNA is filed under the name uncultured bacterium. Its description in RNAcentral is "bacterial SSU rRNA". It matches the Rfam family "Bacterial small subunit ribosomal RNA", at positions 355 to 825 of the family's 1533-position model. The record is from RNAcentral.
UGGGGAAUAUUGGACAAUGGGCGCAAGCCUGAUCCAGCCAUGCCGCGUGAGUGAUGAAGGCCUUAGGGUUGUAAUGCUCUUUUUGGCGGGGACGAUAAUGACGGUACCCGCAGAAUAAGCCCCGGCUAACUUCGUGCCAGCAGCCGCGGUAAUACGAAGGGGGCUAGCGUUGUUCGGAAUUACUGGGCGUAAAGCGCACGUAGGCGGACUUUCAAGUCAGGGGUGAAAUCCCGGGGCUCAACCUCGGAACUGCCUCUGAUACUGUUGGUCUUGAAUCCGGUAGAGGUGGGUGGAAUUCCUAGUGUAGAGGUGAAAUUCGCAGAUAUUAGGAAGAACACCGGUGGCGAAGGCGGCCCACUGGACCGGUAUUGACGCUGAGGUGCGAAAGCGUGGGGAGCAAACAGGAUUAGAUACCCUAGUAGUCCCUGAGCGGGCUGGCAAGGCGCAU